AGCGAACGCUGGCGGCAGGCUUAACACAUGCAAGUCGAACGGGCACUUCGGUGCUAGUGGCAGACGGGUGAGUAACACGUGGGAACGUACCUUUCGGUUCGGAAUAAUUCAGGGAAACUUGGACUAAUACCGGAUACGCCCUUCGGGGGAAAGAUUUAUCGCCGAUUGAUCGGCCCGCGUCUGAUUAGCUAGUUGGUGAGGUAAUGGCUCACCAAGGCGACGAUCAGUAGCUGGUCUGAGAGGAUGAUCAGCCACAUUGGGACUGAGACACGGCCCAAACUCCUACGGGAGGCAGCAGUGGGGAAUAUUGGACAAUGGGCGCAAGCCUGAUCCAGCCAUGCCGCGUGAGUGAUGAAGGCCUUAGGGUUGUAAAGCUCUUUUGUCCGGGGACGAUAAUGACGGUACCGGAAGAAUAAGCCCCGGCUAACUUCGUGCCAGCAGCCGCGGUAAAUACGAAAGGGGGCUAGCGUUGCUCGGAAUCACUGGGGCGUAAAGGGCGCGUAGGCGGACUCUUAAGUCGGGGGUGAAAGCCCAGGGCUCAACCCCUGGAAUUGCCUUCGAUACUGGGGAGUCUUGAGUUUCGGAAAGAGUUUGUGAACUUGCGAGUGUAGAGGUGAUAUUUCGUAGAAUAUUCGCAAGAACACCAGUGGCGAAGGCGGCCCACCUGUUCCGAUACUGACGUUGAGGGCGCGAAAGCGUGGGGGAGCAAACAGGAUUAGAUACCCUUGGUAGUCCACGCCGUAAAACGAUGAAUGCCAGCGUUGGGAUGCAUGCCAUCUCAGUGGCGCAGCUAACGCUUUAAGCAUUCCGCUGGGGAGUACGGUCGCAAGAUUAAAACUCAAAGAAAUUGACGGGGGCCCGCACAAGCGGUGGAGCAUGUGGUUUAAUUCGAAGCAACGCGCAGAACCUUACCAGCUUUUGACAUGUCCGGUUUGAUCGGCAGAGAUGCCUUUCUUCAGUUCGGCUGGCCGGAACACAGGUGCUGCAUGGCUGUCGUCAGCUCGUGUCGUGAGAUGUUGGGUUAAGUCCCGCAACGAGCGCAACCCUCGCCCCUAGUUGCCAUCAUUCAGUUGGGAACUCUAGGGGGACUGCCGGUGAUAAGCCGCGAGGAAGGUGGGGAUGACGUCAAGUCCUCAUGGCCCUUACAGGCUGGGCUACACACGUGCUACAAUGGCGGUGACAAUGGGCAGCGAAGGAGCGAUCUGGAGCUAAUCCCAAAAAGCCGUCUCAGUUCAGAUUGCACUCUGCAACUCGAGUGCAUGAAGGUGGAAUCGCUAGUAAUCGUGGAUCAGCAUGCCACGGUGAAUACGUUCCCGGGCCUUGUACACACCGC
RNAcentral lists this ribosomal RNA (1333 nucleotides) under uncultured bacterium. RNAcentral describes it as "bacterial SSU rRNA". It matches the Rfam family "Bacterial small subunit ribosomal RNA", at positions 28 to 1393 of the family's 1533-position model. The record is from RNAcentral.